AGAGCCGGUCGGAUAGUUGCUCUCAAUCUGCAGAUUGCAUUAUUGAGAGAGGAAAGUCCGAGCACCGCAGGAUAGGAUGCCUUCUAACGGAAGGACCCCCUAUAUUGUGGGGAUGGAAAGUGCAACAGAAAAUAUACCGCCGUCGAUACGUUUAGGGCUUGCUCUGAGUUUGUCGAAGGGCAAGGGUGAAAUGGUGGUGUAAGAGACCACCAGGUUUUGAUGUAAAUCAGAAUGCUUGUAAACCCCAUCCGGUGCAAGACCAAGUAUACCCCAAGAUGUAAUCCGCAUCAUUAUUCGGGGAGGGUUGGUCGCGUGAUCCUGAUAGUAAUAUCGGGACCAGAUGAAUGACUAUCAAUUACAGAACUCGGCUUAUAGAUUGGCUCUCAUU
This 388-nucleotide RNase P RNA is filed under the name Fidelibacterota bacterium. RNAcentral's name for it is "RNase P RNA component class A". It matches the Rfam family "Bacterial RNase P class A". From Rfam's summary of the family: Ribonuclease P (RNase P) is a ubiquitous endoribonuclease, found in archaea, bacteria and eukarya as well as chloroplasts and mitochondria. Its best characterised activity is the generation of mature 5'-ends of tRNAs by cleaving the 5'-leader elements of precursor-tRNAs. Lineage: Bacteria; Pseudomonadati; Fidelibacterota. The record is from RNAcentral.